Molecule: ribosomal RNA, 467 nt
Filed under: uncultured bacterium
Lineage: Bacteria
Description: partial 16S ribosomal RNA
Rfam family: Bacterial small subunit ribosomal RNA
Source: RNAcentral
GACGAACGCUGGCGGCGUGCUUAACACAUGCAAGUCGAACGGAAAGGCCCUGCUUUUGUGGGGUGCUCGAGUGGCGAACGGGUGAGUAACACGUGAGUAACCUGCCCUUGACUUUGGGAUAACUUCAGGAAACUGGGGCUAAUACCGGAUAGGAGCUCCUGCUGCAUGGUGGGGGUUGGAAAGUUUCGGCGGUUGGGGACGGACUCGCGGCUUAUCAGCUUGUUGGUGGGGUAGUGGCUUACCAAGGCUUUGACGGGUAGCCGGCCUGAGAGGGUGACCGGCCACAUUGGGACUGAGAUACGGCCCAGACGCCUACGGGAGGCAGCAGUGGGGAAUAUUGCACAAUGGGCGGAAGCCUGAUGCAGCAACGCCGCGUGCGGGAUGACGGCCUUCGGGUUGUAAACCGCUUUCGCCUGUGACGAAGCGUGAGUGACGGUAAUGGGUAAAGAAGCACCGGCUAACUACGU